This 253-nucleotide ribosomal RNA is filed under the name uncultured bacterium. RNAcentral describes it as "partial 16S ribosomal RNA". It matches the Rfam family "Bacterial small subunit ribosomal RNA", at positions 524 to 776 of the family's 1533-position model. The record is from RNAcentral.
UACGUAGGGGACGAGCGUUGUCCGGAUUCAUUGGGCGUAAAGCGCGCGUAGGCGGCUCGGUAAGUCGGUCGUGAAAUGCCGGGGCUCAACCCCGGGACUGCGUCCGAUACUCCCGAGCUGGAGGCAGGUAGGGGAGAUCGGAAUUCCUGGUGUAGCGGUGAAAUGCGCAGAUAUCAGGAGGAACACCGGUGGCGAAGGCGGAUCUCUGGGCCUUGCCUGACGCUGAGGCGCGAAAGCCAGGGGAGCAAACGGG